RNAcentral lists this unclassified non-coding RNA (320 nucleotides) under plant metagenome. RNAcentral describes it as "partial contains 5.8S ribosomal RNA, internal transcribed spacer 2, and large subunit ribosomal RNA". The stretch from base 1 to 105 matches the Rfam family "5.8S ribosomal RNA", at positions 50 to 154 of the family's 154-position model. The record is from RNAcentral.
GAAAUGCGAUAAGUAGUGUGAAUUGCAGAAUUCAGUGAAUCAUCGAAUCUUUGAACGCACAUUGCGCCCCUCGGUAUUCCGUGGGGCAUGCCUGUUCGAGCGUCAUCUACACCCUCAAGCCCCCGGGCCUGGCGUUGGGGAUCGGCGGAAGCCCCCUGCGGGCACAACGCCGUCCCCCAAAUACAGUGGCGGUCCCGCCGCAGCUUCCAUUGCGUAGUAGCUAACACCUCGCAACUGGAGAGCGGCGCGGCCACGCCGUAAAACACCCAACUUCUGAAUGUUGACCUCGAAUCAGGUAGGAAUACCCGCUGAACUUAAGC